RNAcentral lists this ribosomal RNA (43 nucleotides) under Cutaneotrichosporon curvatum. RNAcentral describes it as "partial 28S ribosomal RNA". The record is from RNAcentral. Lineage: Eukaryota; Fungi; Basidiomycota; Tremellomycetes; Trichosporonales; Trichosporonaceae.
ACUCUGGCCUCAAAUCAGGUAGGACUACCCGCUGAACUUAAGC